This 481-nucleotide ribosomal RNA is filed under the name uncultured bacterium. RNAcentral describes it as "bacterial SSU rRNA". It matches the Rfam family "Bacterial small subunit ribosomal RNA", at positions 28 to 507 of the family's 1533-position model. The record is from RNAcentral.
GACGAACGCUGGCGGCGUGCCUAAUACAUGCAAGUCGAGCGGGGCUGUUUGCUGGAAGCCUUCGGGCGGAAAGCUUGCAGCCUAGCGGCGGACGGGUGAGUAACGCGUGGGUAACCUGUCCUGAAGUACGGGAUAACAGUUCGAAAGGGCUGCUAAUACCGGAUGUGGUCAAGGAUCCGCAUGGAUUUUUGAUUAAAGGGGAAACCCGUUUCGAGAUGGGCCCGCGUCCUAUCAGCUAGUUGGUGAGGUAAAAGCUCACCAAGGCGACGACGGGUAGCCGGCCUGAGAGGGUGACCGGCCACACUGGAACUGAGACACGGUCCAGACUCCUACGGGGGGCAGCAGUGGGGAAUCUUCCACAAUGGGCGAAAGCCUGAUGGAGCGACGCCGCGUGAGCGAAGAAGGCCUCGGUUGUAAAGCUCUGUCUGGAGGGACGAAGGAAGUGACGGUACCUCCGGAGGAAGCCACGGCUAACUACGUG